RNAcentral lists this long non-coding RNA (199 nucleotides) under Lathyrus oleraceus (garden pea). RNAcentral describes it as "Pisum sativum (pea) long non-coding RNA (PSAT_LNC021666)". The record is from RNAcentral. Lineage: Eukaryota; Viridiplantae; Streptophyta; Magnoliopsida; Fabales; Fabaceae.
UUUGGUAGAUAUGAUGUGUGCAAGUUGAGUGUGACAAUUUGUGUCACACUAGGUUAGGUCAAUUUCAUGAUUUCAUUUGACAUGCCUAUGCUUUGCCAAUUGACCUCAAAUUUUGCAUGUGAUCUCCCCUGUAUGUCUAGUUUUGCCAUGUUUGUUUGUAGGAAUUGUUGAUCUAUUUCCUAUUUGAUUGGGAUUUUUG